This 373-nucleotide unclassified non-coding RNA is filed under the name Bombus terrestris (buff-tailed bumblebee). RNAcentral's name for it is "misc RNA ENSBTSG00005021706.1". Lineage: Eukaryota; Metazoa; Arthropoda; Insecta; Hymenoptera; Apidae. The record is from RNAcentral.
CGCUGCAGACAAUAAUAAGCAGAAGAAUAAAUGUUGAAUCGAUGUUGUGUUGCUAGUUCUUGCAAGUAACUGCUUUUGAUGCUCAUACGAACAGCAAGUAUAAAUCCCUGAUUGAGAAUCGGACUAAGCACGUCAGCAAGCGACUCUGGAAACCCAAUGCAGUAACACGUGCAGAACAAACUAUUUUGCGGACUCGAGAUAAAUCACGCCCGAGACUUUGUUGUAAGAAACUUGGGGUUGCUAGAUUUUGAAUUUGUAUCGAUAUAACAAGGUCUCUACUCGUUCGUUUCUCGAUCCUUCUUAUAGCUCAUGGCAAAUAUCUUAUAUCGUGUCGUAACAUAGAAGAAGGACAAUCGGUUAAGAACAGUAUUCU